GACGAACGCUGGCGGCGUGCUUAACACAUGCAAGUCGAACGGUAAGGCCCUUCGGGGUACACGAGUGGCGAACGGGUGAGUAACACGUGGGUGAUCUGCCCUGCACUUCGGGAUAAGCCUGGGAAACUGGGUCUAAUACCGGAUAGGACCACUGCCUGCAUGGGUGGUGGUGGAAAGCUUUUGCGGUGUGGGAUGGGCCCGCGGCUUAUCAGCUUGUUGGUGGGGUGAUGGCCUACCAAGGCGACGACGGGUAGCCGGCCUGAGAGGGUGACCGGCCACACUGGGACUGAGAUACGGCCCAGACUCCUACGGGAGGCAGCAGUGGGGAAUAUUGCACAAUGGCGCAAGCCUGAUGCAGCGACGCCGCGUGAGGGAUGACGGCCUUCGGGUUGUAAACCUCUUUCAGCACCGACGAAGCGCAAGUGACGGUAGGUGCAGAAGAAGGACCGGCCAACUACGUGCCAGCAGCCGCCGUAA
This 477-nucleotide ribosomal RNA is filed under the name uncultured bacterium. RNAcentral describes it as "partial 16S ribosomal RNA". It matches the Rfam family "Bacterial small subunit ribosomal RNA", at positions 28 to 523 of the family's 1533-position model. The record is from RNAcentral.